Osmerus eperlanus (European smelt) is the source of this 910-nucleotide long non-coding RNA. RefSeq lists it as uncharacterized. Lineage: Eukaryota; Metazoa; Chordata; Actinopteri; Osmeriformes; Osmeridae. The record is from RefSeq and is a predicted model, not a curated record. The transcript is spliced from 3 exons.
GAAGAAAAUUAAAAUUCAAAUAGGAUGAUUGAUUACUAAUUUCAUUUAUGAGUCAAAUAACGCAGCCACAUUCUUAAAAUGCAAAUGCAUUUCUGGAAAUGCAUUUGCAUUUGAAUUUUGGUAACGAUUUGCUUCCAUAGGUUUCUUCUUGCACCAUGGCAUGCCCAUUUCUUAAUGACGUGUUGGACGACGAAGCACUGAUACUGAGACGUGCUUUCAGACGUGAGAGUGUUUCGUGACAGAUCUUUUCUUUGGCUUUUUCGGACGAGUACCUGCACGAGAGGUAUAGGUUUUCUGGAGAUGGGAUCCGUUAUUUGUGUAGACUGCUGGGUCCCAAAAUUCAGCACCGCACAGGGCGAAGCCAUGCUCUCACCAUCCCACAGAUGGUCUGUGUGGCACUGCGCUUUUUCGCAAGCGGCAUGUUUUUAUAUGCCGUGGGAGAUGCCGAAACCUUGAAUAAAGGUACUAUUUGCCGUACGGUCAGAAGUGUGUGUUUGGCACUGAAGUCCUUGGCACACAUCUUCAUUACCUUCCCUGGCCACAGAAGAAUGUGUUACAUCAAUGUAAUCAAUGGUGCGCUGGACUGCACACACAUCCGAAUUAAACGCCCCUCAGGGGCCCAUGAGGGAGAUUAUGUCAAUCGAAAAUCCUUCCACAGUAUCAAUGUUCAGAUGAUCUGUGACGCUUCCUGCAUGAUCACCAAUGUGGAGGCAAAGUGGCCUGGGUCUGUCCAUGACUCCCGAGUUUUCAGGUCCAGUACCAUUUCCCAGCGACUGUCACAAGGUGAAUUCUCUGGUGUUCUUCUGGGAGACAAGGGUUAUGCCUGUGAGACAUACCUUCUCACUCCACUAGCAGACCCUCAGACAGCAGCACAGCAAGGGUACAAUCUUGCCCAUGCAAGAACAAGGGG